AUACUACGGUUUCUCUUCAAAACGUAUACAUCUUUCGCCUUUUA
Molecule: small nuclear RNA, 44 nt
Filed under: Cervus elaphus hippelaphus
Lineage: Eukaryota; Metazoa; Chordata; Mammalia; Artiodactyla; Cervidae
Source: RNAcentral